AACGAACGCUGGCGGCAUGCCUAACACAUGCAAGUCGAACGGUGCCUUCGGGCACAGUGGCGCACGGGUGAGUAACACGUGGGAAUUUGCCUUUCGGUUCGGAAUAACGUUUGGAAACGAACGCUAACACCGGAUACGCCCUUCGGGGGAAAGUUUACGCCGAGAGAGGAGCCCGCAUCCGAUUAGGUAGUUGGUGAGGUAAUGGCUCACCAAGCCUUCGAUCGGUAGCUGGUCUGAGCGGAUGAUCAGCCACACUGGGACUGAGACACGGUCCCGACUCCUACGGGAGGCAGCAGUGAGGAAUAUUGGACAAUGGGCGCAAGCAUGAUCAAGCAAUGCCGCGUGAGUGAUGAAGGCCUUAGGGUUGUAAAGCUCUUUCGAACGGGACGAUGAUGACGGUAACGUGAGAAGAAGCCCCGGCUAACUUCGUGCCAGCCGCCGCCGUAA
This 447-nucleotide ribosomal RNA is filed under the name uncultured bacterium. Its description in RNAcentral is "partial 16S ribosomal RNA". It matches the Rfam family "Bacterial small subunit ribosomal RNA", at positions 29 to 523 of the family's 1533-position model. The record is from RNAcentral.